RNAcentral lists this ribosomal RNA (440 nucleotides) under uncultured bacterium. RNAcentral describes it as "partial 16S ribosomal RNA". It matches the Rfam family "Bacterial small subunit ribosomal RNA", at positions 338 to 795 of the family's 1533-position model. The record is from RNAcentral.
CCUACGGGGGGCUGCAGUGGGGGAUAUUGCACAAUGGGGGAAACCCUUAUGCAGCGACGCCGCGUGAGUGAAGAAGUAUUUCGGAAUGUAAAGCUCUAUCAGCAGGGAAGAAAAUGACAGUACCUGACCAAGAAGCCACGGCUAACUACGUGCCAGCAGCCGCGGUAAUACGUAGGGGGCAAGCGUUGUCCGGAUUUACUGGGUGUAAAGGGAGCGUAGACGGGUAUGAAAGUCUGGAGUGAAAGCCAGGGGCUCAACCCCGGGACUGCUUUGGAAACUGUGUAACUGGAGUAAAGGAGGGGCAGGCGGAAUUCCUGGUGGAGCGGUGAAAUGCGUAGAUAUCAGGAGGAACACCAGCGGCGAAGGCGGCUUGCUGGACUGAAACUGACGUUGAGGCUCGAAAGCGUGGGGAGCAAACAGGAUUAGAUACCCGAGUAGUC